UGGGGAAUUUUGGACAAUGGGGGAAACCCUGAUCCAGCCAUCCCGCGUGUGCGAUGAAGGCCUUCGGGUUGUAAAGCACUUUUGGCAGGAAAGAAACGUCGCGGGUUAAUACCCCGCGAAACUGACGGUACCUGCAGAAUAAGCACCGGCUAACUACGUGCCAGCAGCCGCGGUAAUACGUAGGGUGCAAGCGUUAAUCGGAAUUACUGGGCGUAAAGCGUGCGCAGGCGGUUCGGAAAGAAAGAUGUGAAAUCCCAGAGCUUAACUUUGGAACUGCAUUUUUAACUACCGGGCUAGAGUGUGUCAGAGGGAGGUGGAAUUCCGCGUGUAGCAGUGAAAUGCGUAGAUAUGCGGAGGAACACCGAUGGCGAAGGCAGCCUCCUGGGAUAACACUGACGCUCAUGCACGAAAGCGUGGGGAGCAAACAGGAUUAGAUACCCUGGUAGUCCACGCCCUAAACGAUGUCAACUAGCUGUUGGGGCCUUCGGGCCUUGGUAGCGCAGCUAACGCGUGAAGUUGACCGCCUGGGGAGUNCGGUCGCAAGAUUAAAACUUAAAGGAAUUG
This 564-nucleotide ribosomal RNA is filed under the name uncultured bacterium. RNAcentral's name for it is "partial 16S ribosomal RNA". It matches the Rfam family "Bacterial small subunit ribosomal RNA", at positions 355 to 912 of the family's 1533-position model. The record is from RNAcentral.